This 301-nucleotide ribosomal RNA is filed under the name uncultured bacterium. RNAcentral's name for it is "partial 16S ribosomal RNA". It matches the Rfam family "Bacterial small subunit ribosomal RNA", at positions 509 to 807 of the family's 1533-position model. The record is from RNAcentral.
CAGUCGCCACGGGAAUACAGAGGGUGCAAGCGUUAAUCGGAAUUACUGGGCGUAAAGCGCGCGUAGGUGGUUUGUUAAGUUGGAUGUGAAAUCCCCGGGCUCAACCUGGGAACUGCAUCCAAAACUGGCAAGCUAGAGUAGGGCAGAGGGUGGUGGAAUUUCCUGUGUAGCGGUGAAAUGCGUAGAUAUAGGAAGGAACACCAGUGGCGAAGGCGACCACCUGGGCUCAUACUGACACUGAGGUGCGAAAGCGUGGGGAGCAAACAGGAUUAGAUACCCGAGUAGUCCCUGUCUCUUAUAC